CGGGAAGAUUUGCCCAAGCGCAGAUUAAGCGGGAUCUUUUUUGAUUGGCAGUGGCCGUAGCGCCUUAGCUGCCAUGUUUUGUUAAAUUCUUCAGUGUGUGGAGGAAUUUUGUUAUUCAACAUCCGCCCCUAACAGGAAGGUAUAGCUACAAUGGCGUUACACAGAAGACGAUUUCCGCACUAAACUACAUAAUACACUAAUACAACAUUUUCCCUAUCAAGAUGUCCGGACAGCAGCUUUAAACCAUGUUUCUUCUAAACGAGGAGAGCCUGCAAACAAUUGUUUGGCCCCCCAUUAGAGAAAAAGUCUCUAUAAAUCCUAACGCGGCACCUCAGACAUUUAUUUUUUAAAACAUAUUAUGAAGUACCCUCAAGUGGUGUCAAUGCCUUCGGCCGUCUCUAAUUGGCUAGAUGAACAGUUGGAAGCUCGUGGUAUCGAUGCAGUAGUAUAUACUCGCUAUAUCCUCAGUUUGCUACAUUCACAUACAGUCGACGUCUUGUAUCCAGAGGACGAUUUCCAGUUUCCAUAUUCUCACUCUAAAAAAGACGUGAGAAGAUACAACAGAGGUUAUUUAGGAUCGCACAGGUCCUCAUCUGAUUGGUGGAGACAUGUGCAUGCUGACGCUGAACAAAUCAAACGUUCAGCUGCCAUUAAGUGUCUCUUGUCUGCCUCUGAACAGAACUGCGAAAUAGAGUCUCUGGUUGACGAACUUUGUGAAAAACUGAAGGAGGUCAAUAGCGAAACCACGUUUCCCCACUUUAACUCGUCAGAAGUUAUAGCUGAAACUGUCUACGAAUCCAAGAAGAUCACGCCUCAAGAACUUGCCGAAAAGUAUUACGCCGCUUUCCCCCCUCUUUGUCCGCAAUCACCCUCCGAAUCUAAAUUGUUGUCGUUGAUACCCAAGUGGAGAAACGUCACCGCCUCCUCGUCUCCGUUGGUUACUUCUCCAAUCAAGAAGAAAUCGACCAGGAAGAAUUUGAAAAUCGGCAACGGAAACAGAUCCCAUGCCAAAGAAAGUCACGAUACAAUGAAAGCUCGCAACCAAACUAAACAACGUCUCAACUGUUUAGCUCGUAACAAGAACAACUUGCGCAACAACGCCACUUUCAACGGCUGGGACCUGAGCUUCUACCCCGCCAACAAUAAAAAGUUCGCAAACAUUAAACGAAAAGAGGAUCAGUCCGACAUGGAGGAGUCUUUCGAUCAAUGCGUAGAAAUUAACAGUAACAUUUGGGACAAUGAAGACGAAGUUAAUAUGUAUGAGGAUUUGCCUGUAGACAUCAUAGAUUUGCUGGAUUCUCCGAGGCCAAGUGAUGACACAGUUGAGAUGAUGAACAUCGCCAAUAUGAGAGAUACUGGAAAGAGGAGAUUUAUCCCAUACGGGACAAGCAUUAUGAGCUCCAUUUGGUCAACUGAUCAAGAUGUAACCUUUGACAAUAAUUUCAACUCAACCAUCGAUGCCUCACAGAACGUCGCCAACAAUACAGAAUUUACUCUAGACUUCAAAUUUAGCGCAAUCUCCAUUGACAAUCCAUCUGUCAAUUCCUCAUUCGAUGAUUGGCCACCAGCUAACUCUAUGGUUGAAAACGAGACCAACGCUCUCUUCGAAACAAACAAGGACUUCAGACACAAAUAUUUCUCCAAUGACUUCCAUAGCCUUCCUGGUAACUGGAGCGUUGGAGAGGGAAGAAAGGUGGACGAGGAGAAGGAAAUAUAUGAAACGGAAAAACUGUUGGCUUUCAGCUUGAUGAAGUUAAAUCAUAAUAAGGAGAAAAGUGGUUUUCAAGAAGUAACGCCAAGAUCUGCGUCUCAGCCAAAAGCCUUUAACCCUUUUGGAAAAUCGGUGAAUACCUUUAAUUUCAAGGCUGACAGGGAUUUUAUUGAGAACUCAGAUAAGGAGGAUUUGCUAACAUCAGAACGUUCUCAUUUUAAGCCUAUUUGUGAAAAAGAUGAGGUUCGACAUCAAUCUAAAUAUGCUGAUGGAGCAACAUUUAUAAUUUCCAAUAAUCUUGAUAAGGUGGAUUACAAACGAAGUGAAAGUGGUACGAUGUGGCUUGAAACAGAAUUCGGUCAGACUAAAAAAUAUUAUGAAUACAAGACGCAUGGGAAGCAUGUUUUUACUGAUUCAGUGGAACUUAUUCUUAAGUUUAGUAUUAACGAAAAUGACAAAGCUUGCCAAACGGAUGAUUGGGAAUCAGAUAACGAGGUCGAAAAUUAUACUAAAGUUGAGAAUAAAAUGAGCGUCAAUGAAAUGCCACAGUCUUCCACAAACAACGAUGAUCACUUAGAAAAUCCUCAGCACCACUGUGCCUGCCCUGACCUCACUACAGCCAACGCGACAACCACUGCUUUGAACAAGGAUAACUCUUCAGCUUGCCCUACAAACCUCAUCCAACGCCCUGAAAGCAUGCUCAGCGAAGUUGUGUGGAAAUACGAAGAAAAAUCGUGCGAGAAAUGUCAUGGAAAUAACAUGGCAUGGAGUAAUAAUGAUUGGUCUUCUAGUAAUAAGGGGCAGGUCGAUUCUGAUUGGGCUGAAAAUGGAUUAAGAAGUAUCUGGAGUGGAGGAGAGAUUUGUCAGAAUUGUUUGGUCCUAAAUGGUUCUAACCUACCCCGGCCUGCCCCUAACCACCAACUUCGCGAAGACAUCAGCCAAGAUGGCGAACAGCUUCUCUCUGAUUUAAGUACCAUACAGAAGUGCUACAUGGACGAUCUACCUGUCGUCGCUGAACGCUCCUUGGACAUCUUAGAACUGCUCUCGUCCGGCGUCGUUCCCAAAGAACGCAAAAGAAGGCACUCACUCACAGUUGAUCACAAUCCAGACACGUGGAGCUUCGCUUCGCGCAUCGAAGAAGAUUGUCUCAUGCAAUUGGCAGCUUUGCCAGCCCUGAGAGCCGUAACACUGUAAGAAAACACGAUAGGUUGGGUGAGUUAUGAUAAAGUCGGGAAAAGAAAUGAAAUUAUUGAUAUGUGGUGGAAUUUUAUAGAAACUUGGUAGGUGGUCCAACGUUUUCAAUUAUUAUUCUUUUACUUUGACUCUUUAUUAUUGCCGUGAAAAUUGUAAUACAUUUAUUUAAAAACGAUGGUUAAUUUUAAUUUACAUUUUUUGAGCCAUAUUUAACUGUUCAUUGCUGACAACGUGUAACCAAUAUGAAAGAAAAUUAUAUGAGCGCCAACUAUGGUAGUAUCUUCUUCUUCAUGUACCAUGUCUUUUUAGAACGUUGGUUACCAUCAUAGCUAUCUUAAUUUUAGUCGUCGCCGGCCUAAAUAGCAUGCUUGUAUCAAUACCAUACCAAUCUCACAAGUUUUUAAACCAUGAAGUUAUUCUUCGUCCUGGACUGCAUUUGCCUUCUAUUUUCCCUUGCAUAACAUUUUGUAGCUACCUAUAUUUGGGACUUCUCAUUACAUGUCCGAAAUACAGUGGAACCCCGAUAACCCGGAAGUCCAACCCGGACCGAUUUUCAUCAGACAAACAUUUCAACGAUAAAAAUGUAUGUAAUAUAAUAUUUGAGAGAUAAUGUGUAUUUGUGUAAUUUGAACUAUACGAUAGAAAAAAUGACUCAUGGCACAUAGACUAAAAGACUAUUUAAAAAAUUAUUUUCUAAACAAUGGUCUUAGUCUCCACUGUUCUUAAAUAACUUAACAUUCCGAUUGUGACCGUAUUGUGUGUAGUAUAGUCGUAUUUUUCGCUUCCGUUCUAUAAUCGUACCUCAGAUAGGUUUGUGUUUGCGUGUUUUUUGUCUACGCAUGAGUUUUUUUACCAAGAAAUGAACAAUAUUCUAUACUCUACACAACUAUACGUAAUUUAGAUGUGUACUGUGCAUAUAUAUUUCAUGUUAUUUCAAUUAUAAAGAAGUUUAUCACCGUAUUUUAUUAACUUUUACCAUAUUCUCCGGCUAACCCGGAUCGGCCGCGCUCCCGAUUAAUCCGAGUUAUCGAGGUUCCACUGUACUCAAUUCUCUUCUUGGUGCUUUUUAUAAUCUCAAUAGUCGUGCUGAGACGUUCUAUUAGUAUUGUGGAGUUUCGAAUCUUCUCCACCAAAGAAACUUUUAAAACUCCAUAGCACCAAAUUUCGAAAGCCUCAAGGCGAUUGAGAUCAAUUUUAUUUACAGUCCAAGACUCGACGCCAUAAAGUAAGACCGAAAACACGUAGCAGCGAAGUAGGCGGAUUCUCAAUGCCAAUUUUAGGCCUCUAUUACAUAGUAGACGACUUUAAAAUGUAUUAAAAUGUAUAAUAUAUGUCUGAAUUGCCGAUAUGAAUGAGUCAGAUUAAAUUAAGUUAUUAGAAGAUUUGUUUUACUAAGCAACAUAGACAAAAUUUAUUUAAUUUAUUAAUAUUUUGUAUUUCAAUAACAGCUUCUGAAGUUGAAGUCGAAACGUCAAUAAAUUUCAUUUUUAACUUAAAUUGUGGCUUAUUUCCCAAUAAAAUCGUAAAUUGCAUAAGAUGCCACAAAGAAACAGCUUCAGAACAAUACCCUUGUUUUGAAGUAAUCUGUCAAAUUACACAUAGAAAGAAGUCUUACUUCACUUUUAUUUAUCACAUAAAUAAUAACAGAUAAUAAUAAUGUCAGAUAAGUCCCAUCUCCCGUAUUAUCAAUACGUCCCCGAGAGAAUGCUUGAGGAUGGCAACUACAAGCUAUACUGGGACCGCACUGUGCACACAGACCAAACAAUGGCACAUAAUAGACCAGAUCUCGUACUAAGACAAACAACACUAAUUGAUGUGGCGAUACCUAACAACAAUAAUCUACGUAGUAAAUUUACUGAAAAGAUCGCCAAGUACAGAGAUCUGGAAAUUCAAAUACGAAGGCAAUGGAGAAUGCAAAGUACCCAGACGAUACCGAUUAUUAUGUCUACUACUGGAGUCAUUCCGAAGACCCUCCUCGAAAGCAUAAAAAAGCUGGGUCUAAAUGAACGCCUUUAUAAGACCAUGCAGAAAGCUGUACUACUCGCGACGGCCAGAUGCGUACGAAAAUUUCUGGGAGAAACUCCAGCAUACGAAGUCACCUAGGGCUCGAUAACACGGAAAGAGUCCCACCAGAGCUCAAUCCUUUUGAUACCGUAGGUAUCUGGGAGUGUGAGCCGUAUGGCUAAAUCUGGAUAAUAUGCAAAGUAGCAACUCUAUUUCUUCAUUAUUUGUGCCAGUUAAAGUAGCUAUUUCUAAUUGCUCUUCCAUAUUGUGAGAUCAGUAUUAUGGAUUAUGGUAUUCUUUAAAUGACAAAAUAAUUCAAGUCAACAUUUUACUCGUUUCAAUGAGCUUAUUUUAAUUUUUAAUCUAGGAUCUUAUCAUAGGUAACAAAUAGAACCUUAUAGGUUUUUCUGCUAUAGAAAAAUAUUUGUCUAAUAGUAUAUAUAAAAAAUGUCAUUUGUCAAAAUAAAAGAUUAUUUUAAAAUGUUACCAAUAACUCUAGUAUGCUGCAUUUCAAACGUUAGAAUCAGUGUGGUUGUAUAUUGCAAGCGGGUUUGCCGUAUUUCGCCCAUUCUGUGAAUUAUAAAUAAAUCCUCCUUUUGUAUACCAUGGCAGUUAACAGCGGUAAUCCUUUACAAGUACCUGCCUAGCGCUACCUUUCACGGCCACUGCCGUGAAGAGCGGCAAAGUUAUCAAGAAAAUUCUCAUUUAGUUUGCAUGACCCUAUCCUUUGUACACUGCAUCGCAUGUCUGAAAUAUGCUGUAGACAUGUAGUAUAUUGUACUUUAAUAAAGUAUCCUGAAAUAAAAGCGUCUUUCAUCUUAGCAGUUUCAAGUAAAUGUAAUGCAAGUCAACUAAAGCACAAUCUAUUGAUAUAAAUUUCAUGAUGAUACAAGAGACGAAACUUUUAUUACAAUUUUAUAUUAUGGCAAAUCAUUAUACGUUAAUUUGGUAAUAGAUGCCUUAGGCGAAUUUAUUAGAGUAGCAAUAUUUGAUAAUUCUUUAAGUUUACUGAAAAGUAAUGAAAUAAUUAAGUGUCCAAAGUUUAUGUAUUAUUUAAUUAAUACCCUUAAUUAAUAAUAAUACAAAAUAUAAUGAAAAUUUCAGUAGAAUAUAUAAAUUUCAAAGUACCUUUUCCGUUUGGACACAAUUUUAUAAACAAUUCCAAAUUAUUAAUUUUAUAUACAGACUGUUUAGUGUUUGAGUAGAUGUACCCCAAUGAAGGAAGCGCUAAAAUGAGAAAUGCGCACAAAAGAGAAAUUUUAUGACAAUGGGUUGCAUUGCCACUGUAGAAUGCAAUGAUGUAAAUUUUCGUUAGUUUUGAAUAUUUGUAACGUUUCGUUACUUUAACUAUUAUUACCCGGUACUUUAUACUUGUUACGUUCGGUACUUUUUGUUUUUAGGUAGUGUUAAAUAUCAAAUAUUCAUAAUUCAUAUCCGAUAUUGAGCAGUAUAAAUUUAUCACCCCGUAUUAUCACAUCAGCCAAUUUGUUAUUAUAUUUAAACAUGUGCGGGUUAUUUAAUUUGUUUAAUUGUUGCAAUUCAUAAACUAUAUUUUGGCAAUGGACAUUAAUUUAGCUGACUAAGUAAAAACCUUUGUUCUUUUGUCGUGUGGGCUAUGACCCAAUUCAUAUUGCCAACAAGAGAGAACCUACUUUUAGAAUCAUUCAUUAGAAUCAACUCAACCAGGCCAGAUGUGCCUUUGACUUCAUUCCUUCGAGUAACUUCAACGAGUCAAUAUGUAGCAUUAUAAUACACUAAAACUAAUUCGCGUACGAGCCACAUAUCAGUACGACUACGUUCUCCCGGGGUUGGUUCUACUACCCUGAUGUCAGUCGCUAUCAAUAAAUUAUCUAAGUGCUAUUGGUGUUUCAAUAACAGACGAUCAUCCUCCACUGAACCCGAAGAUUAGACAGGUAGAGUACAUCCACUCGAAGCAAACAAAUAUUUCAAACUAACAAAGUGAAAUAUUAGAUUCUUUUUCUGGUUUCUGGACCAUCGUUCUGUCAACUUUUCAUUUGUAUUAAAAAAUAGUAAAUUUAUUUUUAUUACAGUUGUAGUACUUAAUAAAGUAAUAAAUAGAGUAAUAUCAAACAAACCGUAAACCGAUUCUCUUCGGCAGACCUCUUUAGUGUUUACAUUUCACCCCGUCACCGCCUCGGUUUAUCUUCCGAAGUACUAAAAUACCGACAUGGACAAGGCAAUCGACAAAGUUUUUGUUUGAUUUGGUGUUACCGAAAUCUGGGUAUUUCGCCAAUUUACUUGUUGUUUUGUUCUGUACCGAAAGUACCGAGUAACGAGUAUUUCUACCAACGACGGAUCGGUACUUUGUGUAUUGGGCAAAUACCCGUUAUAGACGGAGAGGCUGAAAAAUCUCUUUGAAUUUACUAAAGCUAAAUUUUUCACAGUUGAUUACUGUGAUUGUGUAGAGAAACAUACUGCGGUCGGUCAAGCGAAACGUAGAACAGGGGUUACUGAGAGGGUAUCAAAGUUGCUUUCCUACGAAGGUAAUUAAAUCCAUUUACUAAGGCUGAAAAUCAGUACACACAUUCUAAAUUGAAUAUAAAUAAAAGUUAUUAUAGUCGGUCAGCUGUAUGACGGGACAGAGCCGGUCGGUCGGUCCCAAUGAAUGUACAGGGUUAUUCAAUAUAUUUUGACCCCCUUGUAAACUGCUUUAUUUACAGAAUUAGAAAAAAAUGUAAAAUACAAAAGUUAUUCGAUUUUUUAAGUAUGAUUUUUUGACAUAUCGUACUAGUGACGUCAUCCAUCUGGGCGUGAUGACGCUAUCGACUAUUUUUUUUAAAUGAGAGUAGGGGUCGUGUGCUAGCUCAUUUGAAGGGUUAUUCAAUUCUCUAUACAGUACUAUAAACAUUAAGAUCAUUAUUUAUACAGGGUGUCAAAAAAAUUUUGAAUUAUUAAUUAAACAAUUAAUUUAAUUAAAAAAAAUUUUUGGACACCCUGUAUAAUUAAUCAUGUUAGUGUUUAUAUUACUGAAUAGGGAAUUGAAUAACCUUUCAAAUGAGCUAGCACUCGACCCCUAUUUCCAUUUAAAAAAAUAGUCAAUUACGUCAUCACGUCCAAAUGGAUGACGUCGCUAGUAUGAUAUAUAUGUCAAAAAAUCAUAAUUUAAAAAUCGAAUAACUUUUGUAUUUUACAUUUUUUUCUAAUUCUGUAAAUAAAGCAGUUUACAAGGGGGUCAAAAUAUAGUGAAUAACCCUGUACAUUCACUGGUGCCGACCGACCAGCUCUGUCCCGUCAUACAGCUGACCGACUGUAAUAACUUUUAUUUAAUUACUUUCGUAGGAAAGCAACUUUGAAACCCUCUCAGUAACCCCUGUUCUACGUUUCGCUUGACCGACCGCAGUAUGUUUCUCUACACAAUCACAGUAAUCAACUGUGAAAAAUCUACCUUUAGUAAAUUCAAAGAGAUUUUUCAGCGCUGCCUCUUGGACUAUUACAUUGCAGUGGAUAGGCACUUUUUUACAUGGCUAGUGGCUAGUAGAAUGACGAAUGACUGAAUGAAUCGGAGUGACAUCAGGUGGGACGCAGUAUUGCCAUUUAUAAUGCGUAUAUCUAAUUGAAAACUAAAUGGUCUGUAUGUAUAAGUUCAUUAUAAUUAACGUUUAUAAGCGUUUUUCUAGCUUAUAUAAAUAAUUUGAGAAGUGUUGUAGCCACACCAAGUAACAUACACCAGUGUAACUUUUCCCGGUUUUUUCAUAGCGUCUCCCGAUCUUAAGGUUAGAUUUUGGCUUUGGAUUAUAAGAGCGGCAUCCGAUAUCGUGGUACGUCGUCAAGACGGCGUCUAAAAGAUAACUGCCAAAUUUGUUUCAGUGCAGAAUGUAGGAGCUCUUGUUAGGGAACAAGACUCGGUACAACACGAUCUGGUAUGCCGCAUGCUCUUUGCUUAUACAUAUUUAUUAUAUAGAAAAAGUUGUGAAAGGCUCCACAGGGAAGCCCUAAGGCUUUGUUAUGUUGUGCAUAUUUAUAGAUAAAACAGAUUCAAGCGAGAAUACUUUAGGUAUAGGGAGGCCGUUCCGUUUUCGACGUUUUAUUUUUGUUUUUUGUUAUUUUUGAUGGACCGCCUCCCUUCUACUGCAGAUUAAAAUGUAGGUGGAUAACGAAGAUUUUUUGUUAAAAAGUAUGGUCUAUACUUUUAAUUUGUUAAGUGAAUAUUUGUCCUUUCCCUUAUCCCAUUCCCCAUUCCUACAGUCCCUUGAUAGUACAAGAUGUCGGUCUGGAAAAGAAGAUGCAACGAAUCGGACUUGGCAAUGCUGGUAGUGCAAAGUAGAUUUUAAUAACAAUGAAUUUAAUGCAGAGAUUAUGUAUAUAUAAGUUACGAAACACAAUACCACAGUGUGCCUAUAUUCGAAAGUUUUAUGUAUAAUUCCUACAUACACUUUUAAAAACUUAAUGUAAAAAGUAUUUUCUUUAUAUAAUCAAAAUGGAUUGGUUCUUAUAGCCCUGGAUCCCGCGCCCCAAAAAAGAGUUUAUUAAUUAGCAAGCUGAAAAUUUGUUCAUUGCGUAACGGCGUUGAGUCGGACAAAUUUUGAUAUACGGGAACACUGGUUCAGGGAAGCCUCAAUUGUGGAACGUGAUAAACGUGUUAUCCUGACAAGUUUAUUAUUGUGAAAACUAGCAGGUUGUUUUUAAAUUUAUUCAAUAGCUAACAUUAAUAUAUGUAUAUGAAAAAAUGUUUGGCAUUUUAAUAAGUCCGAUACGUAGAACAUGUCAAAUGACAGGAAUUAUGUUGUUGAAACUAGCAGUCUGAUUUUUGCAUGAGAGUUUUUAAUGAAAGGGUAAAAAAAUCAAUUGGAAGUUUUGUCUGACAAAAUUCAUGAGACGUUUUCGUAGUCUGAUGUUCGAAACCUCUAAUUUUUGUCUAUAUCUUAAAGUUUCGAACAUCGGAUUACAAAAACGUUCCAUGAAUCUUGUCGGACAGAACUUCCAAUUGAUUCUUUUACCCUUUCUUUAAACUCAUGCAAAAAUCAGAAUGCUAGUUAUGACCCGCAUAACUCCUGUCAUUUGACAUGUUCUAUGUGUAUUACAAACAUUUUUUCAUAUAUUAUAUAACGUGGCUAUUGAAUAACCUUAAAAACAACCUGCUAGUUUUCACAAUCAUAAGCUUGUCAGGAUAACACAUUUAUUACGGUCCACAAUUAAAGCUUCCCCUGUUCCAGUGUUCCCAUGCAUUGUCAGAUUCGACACCGUUUAGCUAUGAACAAAUGUUCAGCUUGCUAUUAAUAAACUUUUUUUUGUUACGGAUCCAGAAUUAUUAUACCUUAUCAUAGGAUUAUAAAUUUAUGCUGAGUCCUACAGAUUUUACUAAAUGUAUAUUUUUCCAGAUACUUUAGAUUUGAAACAUACACAGUGUUUAAAAGAGCCUUAACAAUUUUAACAAAUUUGCUAAAGUAAAAGAUGUAAUAUUGCAUUGAAAUGUUGUAGAAAAAAAUAUCUCGAUAAUGUUUCUGUGAUGUUACAGAACGAUUCCUGGACGUGUUCUUUUCCAGACCGACCUCCAAACAUCAAAUAGGUAUUUUAUUUAGGCAUUCAAAUUAUUUUUUGGUGUUAAAUUGUUUCAAAAUUUUUCUCAGUUUUUUUAAAAUCACACCGGCUGUUUUGGUUUUCUUUUUCUGUUGUAUAUAUAGUUUAUUGUUAAAUUUUUGUUCACAUUUUUAGCGAAAUCAGAUUUCACGGUGUGAUACAUUGAUUGUUUUUGAGAUGAUUAUUUAAUCAAUCAUCAUGUAACUUUUUAGAUCUGCCGAUAAUUAUUAAUGAGAAAAAAACGCACUGUAAAUGCACUAAAACGACUUCUUUAGAGGCAGGUCUACCAUCUUACGUAUUUUACAGUUGACGUGUUUUUUUCGCUAUUAAACGGAAAGUUUUUUUUGUAUUUAGGUGUUUUACAUUAUAGCAUAGAUCUUUUAUUUCAACAAAUAGAUACAAAACACCUUGUCGACUAGUUCGGACAGACAAAAAAUAAUAGAGUGGUUUCAAGUCUAAUCAAAAAAUUUGUUAAAAAAAAAACAACCAAAAAAAUGUUUUCGCUGAUAACCUCUCCUUUUAGUGGUAUUUAUCCAAUAGGUACUUGGACUUUAAUUUAAGACAAUUUAUUAAUCAAAAACUGAACAGAGGAUUUUAUCAAGAAUAUAAUAGUGUAUAUAGUUUAACAGUUUAAACAGCACAAUGCUCAAUAUCAAUAUUUGUUUUCCUGUUCAGUUUUAAUUUACGUUUUAUGUAUAUUAUUAUACUAGCUGGAAAAGGUUCUUAUUUCAUAAAGUGGUUUCUUUUUUAAGCUUUUUUUAGUAUCGAACUCUGUGCGUAUACACAUGUACCAUAUCCGUGAAUCCUACUCCGUCUAGAAUUUACAUGUAGCAUCUUUUUUAGCGGCGUUGGUUAAGUAAAUAGUGAUAAAAAAAUAAUACUAAUAGUUGAUUCUAUUAGUUAAUCUAAUUAAUAGACGUAACACCUCAAAGAUACGCUACUGAAUGCAUGCCUACAUUCCGAUCAGUUCGUUGGUCGGAGGCAUCCAGUAACUUGACGCGAGAAUGCGUCAUUCUACCUUCCGAUCGGUUCGCUGGUCGGUGUCCGGAAACGACGAGAAUAUGCGUCAUUCAACCCUCCUAUCGCUUGUCGGAGGUGUCCGGAAACUUGAAGCAAAAUUGCGUCAUUAUAUCUUCCGAUCGGUCCGCUGGUCGAAGGUGUCAUUCUGCCCUCCUAUCAGAUCUCCGGUCGGAAGUGUCCGGAAACUUGACGCAAAAAUGCGUCAGUCACUUGUUGGGUUCGUCUGGUAACUUGACGCAAAACUGCGUCAUUCUAUCUUCCGAUUGGUUCGCUGGUCGGUAUCCAGACACUUUUGUGCACCUCACGGGGCCCCUCCCUGAUAAGCGUCUGCUGUAAUUAGGAUUUGAUACUUUAACAGUCAGCAUUAAAUGGAACGAAUUACUACAGAAUUUCUGCUUCUUUAACGUUUACCUCGAUGCUUAAAAGAUAAGCGUCGACGUAGGAUUCGCCGACUUGUUGCAUCUAACAUUUAUUGCUGCCGAAUCAUCUGCUAUUUCAUUGGCCUUAAAGUGUAAAAAUAUUAGAUGUAUUUUUGGCACUACAAGAAACUACCAAAAAUACUAGAUUUGUUGUAAAAGGUAUAUUUUAAAAUACCCUAAAAGAGGGUCACAAGACAAAACGUUUUCGGAUUAAGAAAUCCAUCAUCAGUGUUCUAAAAGCCAAAAAAUAGCAUGCUUGAGCCAGCAUCCAAAAAUGGCAUCCCAUUUUUUUUACUUUUUUUAGGGUAUUUUAAAAUAUACCUUUUACAACAAAUUUAGUAUUUUUGUGAUUUAUGGUAUACAGCCAGCUACAGGAAGUUUAGUUUCCUCGUGGAUUAAGAAACUACCGACAAAAGUUUGCAAACAUCUUAGCGAUGCGAUUUAUGACUGCAUCUGCUGCAAAGACUGCUAGAAUUUUAAAAACUCGAGACAACUCGAAAGACUAUGUGAUAUAUGCACUGUUCGAACGGCAAUAUUUUGAUUGGUAAAAAUUAUCCAAUCAACAGUAAUUGUAGUUCAAAAACAGUUUUGCACGCCUCAUUGGUGACGUGACCGAAAAUUCGCAGAUAUGGGAAAAUUUGGUUUGCACAAGUGGUACAAAAUCGAACGAGGAAGGUAAUUGUGGGUAAAAAAAUCGUCUUACAUACCUACAGUAGGAAAAAUGAAAGAAAACCUAUGAACGAACAUAUAAAACACGCUGUAUUUUCCUGUCACCGUGUCAUACAAAAAAUUGGCCAGCGCAAGUACAUGUAAUAAUUAUUAUUACUGGUACUUGCGCUGGGCAAUUUUCUUUGUGACACGGUGACAGGAAAAUACAGCGUGUUUUAUAUGUUCCUGCAUGGCUAUUCUUUCAUUUUUCCUACUGUACAUAAUAUGUAGGUAUGUAAGUACAUAUUUCGUAUGUAUGUACAUAUUAUGUAGCUCACCCCUUAUUUUACAGGGGUCGAUGUUCGAAAGUGUACAUGUCGAAGAUUGGUCUCCGCACCGAUAUCCUUUGCAUAUACACACCUUAAUAAGCUGCGCAUUUGAGAAGCCUUAGAAGACGAAAAUAGUGAAACUUGACGCGAAAAUGCGUCAUUGACCUUCCGAUAGGUUCGCUGGUUAUCGCAUUUCCCAUCUCUAAUAAGUGACAAUCCUUGUCCAAAUAGAGACAUUCUACUGUCAUUAUAAACUUUUGUGGACCUUAACUACUAAAACUGUAAAAAGUCUAAAACAGCUUGCUGUUUUAUCGGUGUAGAUAUUUUAUCCCGCUACUAGAAGUCGGAUGUUUAUUUAGCGAAUUAUUUUGGUCUCCAUUUUCUUCUAGUCAUGCAAACCUUAAGGCUAUUUAUUUAAGCAAUUAUCAAAUCGCAAUAACGUGGAGUUUUAAAGUUUGAAAAAGAAAUUUCACUAAACUAGAUGUUUGUACAGAUAUAAGACCUUAUUCUUAUCCGAUAUGUAUAUCUAAAUAAAAAAAAUGAAAACAAAAGAGAAACCUUAGUUUUAGCAUUGUUUCUAAAUAACAAGGUCCUCACGGGACCGAUACGUAGGUAUAUAAAACUAUUUUUUAUCGGAAAAAAGUAUAUCAGAGUUUGCUUUUGUAAACAAAAAAUUUAAGACCUUGUAAGGUGUGUGGUGAGUGCUGAAUAUUUUAUCAAAUAUUUUCUAGGUAUUGUUACGGUUAGAGUAUUUGUAAAGAUUGCAUAUUUCUUUUUAAAAGAAAUUCACUUACUCGCACAGUAUGGUCUGCAAAUUUUUAAAGCACAAAAAAAUCAAUUAAGACGGGCGAUUUGCGUAGUACCGUUCUUGGCAUUUGUCGAGGUGCUGUAUAUUUUUUCCAACAAUGUAGUUGAUUUUUCUGGCCGAUUUUUUAUCGUUAGGUGUUGUGUCAAAUAACAAUGUUUUUAUAUUUGUUAUUUUUGCAACAUUUAUGUUUAAAAAAUUCGUUUAUUUUAACAAAAAGUGAUCACAAUCCAGUUUUAUUUAUGUGUGGCGUAAAAUAAAUUGUUUUGUAUAUUUGGUUUAACCACAUGAAAGUUUAUUUUAUUGCGCGUGCGCACUUUAACUUGAACGUAAUGGGGCAGUAUCAACUAUGAAGUAUGUUCUUUCUCUCUCACUUUCUCUAGUUCCAUUCCUCUUUAUGGAGUAUUAGGCGCUUAUGCGUGUCUUAGCCAAAAGUGUUAAGAUUGCUGUCUGGCCGGGUAAGCGUAUGUCCUAUACCAGGGGUUCUCAAUCGGUGGUACAUGUACCACUGAUGGUACAUUUCACUAGGUGCGGUGGUACACAAAACGCGAAACCACAGCCAAAAUCCAGCAUAUUUGUAGUUAAUUAAAUUACCUACCUCCAUAGAUUCUUCAGUUAGGUGGUACCAAAAAUAAUUAUAAGCAUUUUGGUGGUACAUGGCUCAAAAACAUUGAAAACCACUGUCCUAUACUAAAUUUAAAAUCAAGAUGCAGUAGAAAUAAACAAACCAAGACACGUUAAAUGCUACUAGGAGCACUCCCGAAUCAUACGUAUGUCCUAUACUAAAUUUAAAAUCAAGAGGCAGUAGAAAUAAACAAACCAAGACACGUUAAAUGCUACUAGGAGCACUCCCGAAUCAUAAUUUACAAUCUAUUUACAUUGUAAAUCCCAAAUCAUGAUUUCCAAAGUUUAUACAUUGUAAAGUAUGAUUCGGGAGUGCCCCUAAUAGCAUUUAACGUGUCUUGGUUUGUUUAUUUCUACUGCAUCUUGAUUUUAAAUUUAGUAUAGACAUGUAAAGAUAAAUCUUAUCCGUAUUUUAACACGUAUGAUAAUCCAAAUGUCAUACAGUCGGAAAAAUGAAAGAAUACCCAUGAACGAACAUAUAAAACACGCUGUAUUUUCCUGUCACCGUGUCACAAAGAAAAUUGCCAGCGCAAGUACAUGUAAUAAUAAUUAUUACAUGUACUUGCGCUGGCCAAUUUUUUGUGUGACACGGUGAAAGGAAAAUACUGCGUGUUUUAUAUGUUCGUUCAUGGGUAUUCUUUCAUUUUUCCUACUGUAUAUCGCUUUAAAGGUUGCUUAGUUAGUAGCGGCUUAGGGAUUCAUUAGCAAUAACGGCAAUUCAUUCAUUCAUGAAGAGUAGGAAAAUGUUUUAGAAUGGCCUAAAUGGACCAUAGGUACUAAUUGGAACUAUUUCUGACCUCAGGUCAUCAAUAUAGCAUCAGUUCACACGAGAGUUUGAAUGUUUCUCGAGGUUGCGUCAUUUGUUUUAAAGUGCGUACUCACAUGAUAAAUAAUAUUACCUCUUCAUUAAAAUAAAGGAUGUCCCCGAAAAUAGUGCGUUCCUUUAAGGUAUGGAUAUAAUACACAAUGUAGAAAAAAAACUCCUAUAACAUUUUUUCUAAAUUUAACCGUUUCCAAAAAUGAUUCAUUGUUCGCCAUAUAAGCGAACUUUUAUUUUCAUAAAAUUAACUAAUUUGUCAUCACUGUACAAGAACUGUUUGUGAUUUAGUUUGAAACAAACAAGAAUUUGUUUUUUUGUUUAGGAUGAAGACAGGGUUUAAUGUAAAUACUUAUGGCUAAAAUGCUGCAACUAUUUUUGAAUUGUGAUUGUCUAUGUUUAGAUUUUUGUAUACAUAGUUGUCAGAUUUCAAUUUGCAUACCAAAAUUUAUUUUGGUUUUUUAGCCAAACGGUUGCAUUUAGAAAAAAAUGGUACAAGACUUUUUUGCUCUACAUGGUGCCUUCUAUCUAUACCUUUAAGGAACGCACUAUUUUCGGGGACACCCUGUAUACUGCUCUGAUUCUAUGCAGAGGUUGCUGAGAAAAGUUUUAAAAAUCAAAAAAACGAGCUGAACUAUUAUAUAGAUAAAUUGCGUUAAUAUUAUUAAUAUUGCACAUAUUUAUAUGGGUUUGGUAGGCUACAAUAAUUGUACAAAAUCGUAAUAUAAUUCUAGUAGCUAAAUAUUAAUCAACACUAUUCAUUGUCCUGGACUUUCUCUAUUAACUUUUGACAUGUUAGUAACAUUCAUUCUAUGUGUAGCUUUAAUCAUAAUAUAAUUUAUAGAUUUAUUCGCUCUGAAUGUUGAUCCAUCACAAUUUGGCAAAAUUUCAUAUACACAAGUAUUCUUAGAAACAAUUUCAAUCCUCGAUCAAAUAUUUUAAUAGGAGAGUGAACAGUGGACCCUUAAACAACAAAUACACUAAACUUCGGAAAAAUAAUAAUCUAAAAAUGUUUGUACUUCAACAUUUUGUUUGUUGGAUAUACUAAACAUGUAAUAGGUGUAAAUGAUAUAAGUAAAAUUUAAUAAAAAAAGGAUGUAUGUAUGUGUACUUUGUAAACAAGAGCAUCAUCAGUGUUACAAGAACAUGGUGAGCCACCCAAAAAUACAAAGGUGAAAACCUUUUACAAAUAGACUAAAAGUCUUAUAUGUAUAGAAAUAUAAUAAAAUCCAAAGGAUGGAUAUAAAAUCUUAUGGAUAUGGCCUUAAGACAACAUAUAUGUUGUCCUAAAGCCAUAUCCAUAGGAUUUUAUAUCCAUCUUUAAAAGGUUUUCACCUUUGUAUUUUUGGGUGGCUCACCAUGUUCUUGUAACACUUCUUGUUACAGAGCGAAAACGUUUUGUUUCUAUGUUUGUAGCCUUAUAGGGGCUUUUUAAACUAAUAUACCUUUUACCAGGACAAAACAGUUUUUAUUAAAUUUUACUUGUAGUUAAUGAUAUUAAGCGAAAGUUAGUCUUAGCUCAAGAUAUAAUUCUUGAAAGAAUGCUUUUUGUAUCUAAUUAUAGUAAAACACGUUAUAUGUACCUACCCUCACUCGUAGUGCCACUUGUUGUAAAAGGUUUAUUUUGUAUAGAAUUGCUGGGUAAAUGUGCUGGAUAAGAUCACUUUUUGUAAACUAUAAUAUCCUUUCAUUUCAUGUUAAUCAUAUCAUGUUAUAAUAUUUUGAACAUCAUUUUAUUACGUUAAUUCCUAUUGAACGUAGUUUUCGAUUUAAAUAAUUUAAGUAUAAUUUUAGUAUUAUUAUUUUGAAGCAUUAUUCAGUCUUUUCUUUUUGGACUGAGUAGCAUGUACCGAUUGGAGUGUAUGUUUUUAUAAUUUUUUAAAUAAAUAUGAAGAAUUUAUGCACCAAUCGAUAUGUGUAGCAUAGAGUAGUAACUUUACUUUAGUGCCUCUUUACGAUAGAAUAAUUUCUACAUUUGCCUUAAUGAGAAUUAUAUGUAUUUACCUCUGCGGUCAAAAAUAUAUUGGGAUUCUCUAUUUCUAGCAUAGAAAUCGAGUUUCUAUUUUGGAAUAUGGCUAAAUGUAUGAAUAAUAUAUAAAAAAACAUAAAAAAAUCUAUUUGUUUUCAGCUAGAGUACUUGCUUCACAUGAAAAAAGUUUAUAUAAAGUGUACACUAAAGUAACAGUUUAUUCAUAUCUAGUUAUUAGUACAUGUUUGUAGCGUGAACUUCUUAUUUAUAAUAUAUUCAUCAGUAAACAUGGGAAAAUAAAGCAAGUACACUGAA
RNAcentral lists this unclassified non-coding RNA (17393 nucleotides) under Diabrotica virgifera virgifera (western corn rootworm). RNAcentral describes it as "uncharacterized LOC114341448". The record is from RNAcentral. Lineage: Eukaryota; Metazoa; Arthropoda; Insecta; Coleoptera; Chrysomelidae.